RNAcentral lists this ribosomal RNA (483 nucleotides) under uncultured Massilia sp. Its description in RNAcentral is "partial 16S ribosomal RNA". The record is from RNAcentral. Lineage: Bacteria; Pseudomonadati; Pseudomonadota; Betaproteobacteria; Burkholderiales; Oxalobacteraceae.
CACGUAGUUAGCCGGUGCUUAUUCUUCAGGUACCGUCAUUAGCAGGCGAUAUUAGCGCCUGCCGUUUCUUCCCUGACAAAAGAGCUUUACAACCCGAAGGCCUUCUUCACUCACGCGGCAUUGCUGGAUCAGGCUUGCGCCCAUUGUCCAAAAUUCCCCACUGCUGCCUCCCGUAGGAGUCUGGACCGUGUCUCAGUUCCAGUGUGGCUGGUCGUCCUCUCAGACCAGCUACUGAUCGUCGCCUUGGUGAGCCUUUACCUCACCAACUAGCUAAUCAGAUAUCGGCCGCUCCAGGAGCACAAGGCCUUGCGGUCCCCUGCUUUCAUCCGUAGAUCGUAUGCGGUAUUAGCGUAACUUUCGCUACGUUAUCCCCACUCUUGGGUACGUUCCGAUAUAUUACUCACCCGUUCGCCACUCGCCACCAGGCCGAAGCCCGUGCUGCCGUUCGACUUGCAUGUGUAAAGCAUGCCGCCAGCGUUCAAU